Nyctereutes procyonoides (raccoon dog) is the source of this 592-nucleotide long non-coding RNA. RefSeq lists it as uncharacterized. The transcript has 3 exons. NCBI's taxonomy places the organism in Eukaryota, Metazoa, Chordata, Mammalia, Carnivora, Canidae. The record is from RefSeq and is a predicted model, not a curated record.
GUUUCCACUUUGCAUAUCCUGCUCUGUUCUGCCCUUGAGGGUUUUCUGAGCUCCCUCUUCUGUCGCCAAAAUCAGCAUUUACUGUCCCUCAGCUGCGGGAGAGCCUGAGUGUUGGGGAGUAAGGAGCAGCUCUGACACCCACAGAGAAAAAUCUGGCUGGUACCACACAAACCAACAGACUAGUUCUCAAUGGUAAUGUUUCGAUGGUGGACAGAAUUCUUGUCCUCAAUAAAGGUGCUGGCAUCACAGAGACACCUCAGAAAACGCUGGGGAGUAUGGGCCGGCCGGUCCCCCAACGGAUCAAAUCCACCUCUCCAAGUCUGCAGGCCUACCCCGCACAUUUCCCAAAUGGGCCCAGCAUGACCAGUGUCACCCCCUCCUCCUGGAUGCUAAGUCCCCAAGGAUGGAAAAUUCAACCCCAAGUGUCCACAGAGCCAGCCUCACCCAGGGGAACGUGGCAGUCUCACUGCAUUGAGGGCUGUGCGCUUGAGGCCAAGGCCUCCCUUUCUCCAGAGAUGAGCAGGGAAAGUUGCAACGUGAAGAACAAAGUAAAACAAACCGGUUGGAGCUGUGAAGUUGGGUGGUUCAAGUG